Molecule: long non-coding RNA, 243 nt
Filed under: Theobroma cacao (cacao)
Lineage: Eukaryota; Viridiplantae; Streptophyta; Magnoliopsida; Malvales; Malvaceae
Description: long non-coding RNA (TCAC_LNC001842)
Source: RNAcentral
UCAAGAAAGACAAGGGAGCAAGAUGCUCUUGAUGAGACGAUGGGUAAGUCAUGAACUCCCACCCUUAGGGGUUGAGGCAGACGUGGAAAGGCCACUAGGGCGGUGAGGGUGAGUACAUCUGUGACUAGGCAUGAGGAAGAACAGUCCUUAGGUGAUGCAGAUAGACACCCAACUGGGGGUAUUACCAUCGAGGACUUGGCUGCAGGUCUACAGGGAGUUAAUGUGUAAUACCCUGCACCUUCG